AGAAUCAACGCUGGCGGCGUGCCUAACACAUGCAAGUCGAACGAGAAAGUGGAGCAAUCCAUGAGUAAAGUGGCGCACGGGUGAGUAACACGUGACUAACCUACCCUUGAGUGGGGGAUAACCUAGGGAAACCUGGGCUAAUACCGCAUAAUACCUUCGGGUCAAAGGAGCAAUUCGCUUAAGGAGGGGGUCGCGGCCGAUUAGUUAGUUGGCGGGGUAAUGGCCCACCAAGACUAUGAUCGGUAUCCGGCCUGAGAGGGCGCACGGACACACUGGAACUGAAACACGGUCCAGACUCCUACGGGAGGCAGCAGUGGGGAAUUUGCGCAAUGGGGAACCCUGACGCAGCAACGCCGCGUGGAGGAUGAAGUCCCUUGGGACGUAAACUCCUUUCGAUCGGGACGAUUAUGACGGUACCGAGAGAAGAAGCCCGGCUAACUUCGCGCCAGCAGCCGC
This 456-nucleotide ribosomal RNA is filed under the name uncultured bacterium. RNAcentral's name for it is "SSU rRNA". It matches the Rfam family "Bacterial small subunit ribosomal RNA", at positions 26 to 518 of the family's 1533-position model. The record is from RNAcentral.